GCCGUUGUAGCUCACCAGGCAGAGCACUGACUUGGUAAGUCAGAGGUACUGGGUUCGAGUCCCAGCAACGGCU
Molecule: transfer RNA, 73 nt
Filed under: bacterium
Lineage: Bacteria
Description: tRNA-Thr
Rfam family: tRNA
About the family: Transfer RNA (tRNA) molecules are approximately 80 nucleotides in length. Their secondary structure includes four short double-helical elements and three loops (D, anti-codon, and T loops). Further hydrogen bonds mediate the characteristic L-shaped molecular structure. tRNAs have two regions of fundamental functional importance: the anti-codon, which is responsible for specific mRNA codon recognition, and the 3' end, to which the tRNAs corresponding amino acid is attached (by aminoacyl-tRNA synthetases). tRNAs cope with the degeneracy of the genetic code in two manners: having more than one tRNA (with a specific anti-codon) for a particular amino acid; and 'wobble' base-pairing, i.e. permitting non-standard base-pairing at the 3rd anti-codon position.
Source: RNAcentral